RNAcentral lists this long non-coding RNA (624 nucleotides) under Mustela putorius furo (domestic ferret). RNAcentral describes it as "lncRNA (ENSMPUG00000026871.1)". The record is from RNAcentral. Lineage: Eukaryota; Metazoa; Chordata; Mammalia; Carnivora; Mustelidae.
UGCUCUACCUGGGACUCGCCGGCGCGGGUGGAGGCACAGGCGCAAUUUGGAGCCUCAGAGGUUACGCAGUCGCGCCCUCUCGGAGACCCUGGGCUCCAGGCCGCUCGGUCCAGGAUCAUCACCGUUACGCGCAUGGAUGCUGCGGCGACGGGUCAGGUCUCAGAGCCGUGACAGGACUGAAGUGCCUUAGAAGACGGAUCUCGGCCCCUCCCGGACCAGUGCGGAGCAGCAGAUUGGCCUGUCCUGGACGUUCCUGGAAGUGGAAUCAUACAACACGUGGUCUUUUGCAACUGGCUGCUCUCUGUCGGCAUCAUGUCUUCAAGGAUCAUAUGUAUUGUGGCAGGUGUCAAAGCCUUGCUCCUUCAUACGGCUGAUGGACGUCCCGCUGCCCGGAUGGACCACCUUCCGUGAUCCAGUCAUCUGUUGAGGGACACCGGUUUGUUCCCAGCGUUUGGUCACUGGGAAUCACACUGCUGGGAACGUUCACACACAAGUUUUCGUGUGAACACGUUUCCUUUCUCUUGGGCAUGUAUCUGGCACGGGAAUUGUUGGGUCACACGGCAACUCCGUGUUUCGCCUUUCAGGAAGAAUCUUUUUGAAGGUUGAAUUUGGGCAUUUCGGAAU